RNAcentral lists this ribosomal RNA (452 nucleotides) under uncultured Aminicenantes bacterium. RNAcentral describes it as "bacterial SSU rRNA". It matches the Rfam family "Bacterial small subunit ribosomal RNA", at positions 936 to 1382 of the family's 1533-position model. Lineage: Bacteria; Candidatus Aminicenantota. The record is from RNAcentral.
AGCAUGUGGUUUAAUUUCGAUGCAACGCGAAGAACCUUACCUGGGCUUGAACUGCAGGCGUAGUCGCUUGAAAGGGCGGCGAACUCCUUCGGGAAGACCUGUAGAGGUGCUGCAUGGCUGUCGUCAGCUCGGUGUCGUGAGAUGUUGGGUUAAGUCCCGCAACGAGCGCAACCCUUGCCAUUAGUUGUCAGCGAGUCAUGUCGGAUACUCUAAUGGGACUGCCGGUGACGAGCCGGAGGAAGGUGGGGAUGACGUCAAGUCAGCAUGGCCUUUAUGUCCAGGGCCGCACACGUGCUACAAUGGACGGUACAGAGGGACGCAAGACCGCAAGGUGGAGCAAAUCCUCAAAACCGUUCUCAGUUCGGAUUGCAGGCUGCAAUUCGCCUGCAUGAAGCUGGAAUUGCUAGUAAUCGCAGAUCAGCUACGCUGCGGUGAAUACGUUCUCGGGCCUU